This 402-nucleotide ribosomal RNA is filed under the name uncultured bacterium. RNAcentral's name for it is "bacterial SSU rRNA". It matches the Rfam family "Bacterial small subunit ribosomal RNA", at positions 356 to 774 of the family's 1533-position model. The record is from RNAcentral.
AGGGAAUAUUGCAAAAUGGGCGAAAGCCCGAUGCAGCAACGCCGCGUGGGCGAUGAAGGCCUUCGGGUCGUAAAGCCCUUUUUGAGGGGAUGAGGAAGGACAGUACCCUCAGAAUAAGCCUCGGCUAACUACGUGCCAGCAGCCGCGGUAAAACGUAGGAGGCGAGCGUUAUCCGGAUUUACUGGGCGUAAAGCGCGUGCAGGCGGAUUGGAGAGUUGGAUGUGAAAGCUCCCGGCUUAACUGGGAGAGGUCGUUCAAUACUUCCAGUCUUGAGUGCAGUAGAGGGAAGUGGAAUUCCGGGUGUAGUGGUGAGAUGCGUAGAUAACCGGAGGAACACCAGUGGCGAAAGCGGCUUCCUGGACUGUAACUGACGCUCAGACGCGAAAGCUAGGGUAGCAAACG